Molecule: non-coding RNA, 303 nt
Organism: Cyanistes caeruleus (blue tit)
Lineage: Eukaryota; Metazoa; Chordata; Aves; Passeriformes; Paridae
Source: RefSeq, a predicted model, not a curated record
ACAAGUUUAUCAGGGUCAGUGUCCCAGUGCCAGACUGGACCUGUGGGGUCUGUGUGGAUCACCCCACCUUGAGUUUCUAGGUCAGAUUCCCCAUUCCGCUGCUCCUGCGCUAGAACAGCGCUCAGGUUGCACAAUUGCAGAGGAGGGAGGAAUCUGCUUCCCGAAUCCCGAUCUCCCCGGGAGCCUUUCCCGAUUCUCCCCUUCUUCCCAGCAUAUCCUGCUGGAUCCCACCGCAGUGGGAGCAGCCCGGCAGCCUGGCUCUGCCCAGCCGCCCUCCGUCCUCCCUCCCUCCCUCUCCCUCAU